GACGAACGCUGGCGGCGUGCUUAACACAUGCAAGUCGAACGGAAAGGCCAUGCUUUUGUGGGGUGCUCGAGUGGCGAACGGGUGAGUAAAACGCGAGUAACCUGCACCUAACUUUGGGAUAAAACUAGGAAACUGGGGAUAUUAUCGGAUAGGAGAUCCUGAUGCACGGUGGGGGAUGGAAAGUUUCGGCGGUUGUGGCUGGACUAGCGGCUUAUCCGCUUGUUGGUGGGGUAGUGGCUUACAAAGGCUUUGAAGGGUAGCCGGCCUGGGAGGGUGACCGGCGACAUUGGUACUGAGGGACGGCCCAGUCGCCAAUGGGAGGCAGCAGUGGGGAGUAUUGCACAAUGGGCGGAAGCCUGAGGCAGCAACGCCGCGUGCGGAAUGACGGGCUUCGGGUUGUAAACCGCUUUCGCCUGUGACGAAGCGUGAUUGACGGUAAUGGGUAAGGAAGCACCGGCUAACUACGUG
Molecule: ribosomal RNA, 468 nt
Filed under: uncultured bacterium
Lineage: Bacteria
Description: partial 16S ribosomal RNA
Rfam family: Bacterial small subunit ribosomal RNA
Source: RNAcentral